GCCAGCAGCCACAUCAACCUGCAGCUCUCAACUGGCUACCCACUGGAGCUAAGCAGGGUUGAGCCUAGUCAGUACCUAAAUCGGUGACCUCCUGUGAAGCUAUGGUUGCUGCUGGUG
RNAcentral lists this ribosomal RNA (117 nucleotides) under Lepisosteus oculatus (spotted gar). Lineage: Eukaryota; Metazoa; Chordata; Actinopteri; Semionotiformes; Lepisosteidae. The record is from RNAcentral.